GUGAGGAUGGCUGCGCGCGCGUUUGAGCGCUCGCGCGCGGCGACCCGUCUGUCUCCUUCUUUUUUAAAUGUAACCUGGUUUAUUGGGCUCUCGGCGUAUUCUUGCGUUCCUUCUUCACUGGGACAAGACACCACUGUACUAUUGGACUACGGCAAGCUGGUGCCGUCCGGUGGAGCUUCAUACAGGAACUACUGCCUUACCUGCUGGUGUCACAACGUUGGAUGAACGCACAAAAUGCGCGGAACGAGCUUUUAUAUAGAGCAAAAUAAAUAUUUCCAAA
This is a long non-coding RNA of Dermacentor silvarum, 280 nucleotides long. RefSeq lists it as uncharacterized. The transcript has 2 exons. The record is from RefSeq and is a predicted model, not a curated record. Lineage: Eukaryota; Metazoa; Arthropoda; Arachnida; Ixodida; Ixodidae.